AGUAGUCAUGCUAUACUUGGGGCACUUUGGUGUGUUUUGUUUUGCAGGAGCUUUUGUUCACUCGCAGAUGUCCGACAUACCUGUUUGUUCUCCCAGUAGAGAGUCCUUGGUUUUUGAUUGACGAGAUUUCUUGGGAAAUAAUUUUUAUUCCCCGACAGAUGUUGUUAAAGUUGUGCUUAAUGGAGAAUGUUUAUGUCGAA
This 200-nucleotide long non-coding RNA is filed under the name Lathyrus oleraceus (garden pea). RNAcentral describes it as "Pisum sativum (pea) long non-coding RNA (PSAT_LNC029109)". Lineage: Eukaryota; Viridiplantae; Streptophyta; Magnoliopsida; Fabales; Fabaceae. The record is from RNAcentral.